This 200-nucleotide long non-coding RNA is filed under the name Elaeis guineensis (African oil palm). RNAcentral's name for it is "long non-coding RNA (EGUI_LNC018418)". The record is from RNAcentral. Lineage: Eukaryota; Viridiplantae; Streptophyta; Magnoliopsida; Arecales; Arecaceae.
GAUCUUCUUGACGAAGUGAGAGAACAAGCCCAUAUCAGAAUAGCGGCCUAUAAACAGAGAAUUGUUAAGUAUUAUAAUGUCCGAAUAAAAUCGAAGUCAUUUCAGAAGGAUGAUCCCAUCCUGAGAUGAGUAGAAAUUUUAAAGCCUAUCAAACAAGACAAACUAGCUCCCGAUUGGGAUGGACCUCAUCGAAUCACUUA